This 465-nucleotide ribosomal RNA is filed under the name uncultured bacterium. RNAcentral's name for it is "partial 16S ribosomal RNA". It matches the Rfam family "Bacterial small subunit ribosomal RNA", at positions 28 to 507 of the family's 1533-position model. The record is from RNAcentral.
GAUGAACGCUGGCGGCGUGCUUAACACAUGCAAGUCGAACGGAAAGGCUCCUGCUUGCAGGGGUACUCGAGUGGCGAACGGGUGAGUAACACGUGGGUGAUCUGCCCUGCACUUCGGGAUAAGCCUGGGAAACUGGGUCUAAUACCGGAUAGGACGAUGGUUUGGAUGCCAUUGUGGAAAGUUUUUCGGUGUGGGAUGAGCUCGCGGCCUAUCAGCUUGUUGGUGGGGUAAUGGCCUACCAAGGCGUCGACGGGUAGCCGGCCUGAGAGGGUGUACGGCCACAUUGGGACUGAGAUACGGCCAAGACUCCUACGGGAGGCAGCAGUGGGGAAUAUUGCACAAUGGGCGCAAGCCUGAUGCAGCGACGCCGCGUGGGGGAUGACGGCCUUCGGGUUGUAAACUCCUUUUGCUAGGGACGAAGCGCAAGUGACGGUACCUGGAGAAGAAGCACCGGCUAACUACGUG